UACGUAGGGUGCAGGCGUUAAUCGGAAUUACUGGGCGUAAAGCGUGCGCAGGCGGUUAUGCAAGACAGAUGUGAAAUCCCCGGGCUCAACCUGGGAACUGCAUUUGUGACUGCAUAGCUAGAGUACGGUAGAGGGGGAUGGAAUUCCGCGUGUAGCAGUGAAAUGCGUAGAGAUCCGGAGGAAGACCGGUGGCGAAGGCGGCCUGCUGGGCAGAUACUGACACUGAGGCGCGACAGCGUGGGGAGCAAACAGG
RNAcentral lists this ribosomal RNA (253 nucleotides) under uncultured bacterium. RNAcentral describes it as "partial 16S ribosomal RNA". It matches the Rfam family "Bacterial small subunit ribosomal RNA", at positions 524 to 776 of the family's 1533-position model. The record is from RNAcentral.